AAAUUGACGGGGGCCCGCACAAGCGGUGGAGCAUGUGGUUUAAUCGAAGCAACGCGAAGAACCUUUACCAGGUCUUGACAUCCCGAUGCUAUUUCUAGAGAUAGAAAGUUACUUCGGUACAUCGGUGACAGGUGGUGCAUGGUUGUCGUCAGCUCGUGUCGUGAGAUGUUGGGUUAAGUCCCGCAACGAGCGCAACCCCUAUUGUUAGUUGCCAUCAUUCAGUUGGGCACUCUAGCGAGACUGCCGGUAAUAAACCGGAGGAAGGUGGGGAUGACGUCAAAUCAUCAUGCCCCUUAUGACCUGGGCUACACACGUGCUACAAUGGUUGGUACAACGAGUUGCGAGUCGGUGACGGCGAGCUAAUCUCUUAAAGCCAAUCUCAGUUCGGAUUGUAGGCUGCAACUCGCCUACAUGAAGUCGGAAUCGCUAGUAAUCGCGGAUCAGCACGCCGCGGUGAAUACGUUCCCGGGCCUU
This 474-nucleotide ribosomal RNA is filed under the name uncultured Streptococcus sp. RNAcentral's name for it is "bacterial SSU rRNA". It matches the Rfam family "Bacterial small subunit ribosomal RNA", at positions 908 to 1382 of the family's 1533-position model. Lineage: Bacteria; Bacillati; Bacillota; Bacilli; Lactobacillales; Streptococcaceae. The record is from RNAcentral.